UGCGGUUAUACAAAAAUUAAAUUAAUUUUUUUUAGGGUUUAAUAAAUAAAAGUUAAAUUAAUAAUUUAAAUUAUAAAUUAUAAGGUGAAAUUUUAAUUUAAUUAAAAUUUAUUUAUUUUUAUGACAUUAAUAAAUUUUAUAAAAAACUAGGAUUAGAUACCCUAUUAUAAAAAUUUAAAUUUAAUAAUCUUAAAAUAGUAUAUAAUUUUUUAUAAAAACUUAAAUAAUUUGGCGGUAUUUUAGUUCAUUUAGAGGAAUCUGUCUAAUAAUUGAUAAUCCACGAUUAAAUUUACUUAAUUUUUAAUUUUGUAUAUCGUUGUUAAAAAAAUAUUUUUAAAUAAUUUAUAAUAUUUUAAAAUUUAAAUAAAAAAUUAAAUCAGAUCAAGAUGCAGAUUAUAAUUAAGAAUAUGAUGGAUUACAAUAAAAUUUAUUUUGUUUGGAUAUUAAUUUGAAAUAAAUUAAUUGAAAUUGGAUUUAAAUGUAAUUUUAUUAAUUUUAAUAAAAUGAUUUUAAAUUAAAAUAUGUACAUAUUGCCCGUCGCUUUCAUUUAUAAAUUGAAAUAAGUCGUAACAAAGUAGAGGUACUGGAAAGUGUUUCUAGAAAGAU
Molecule: ribosomal RNA, 606 nt
Filed under: Zygaena formosa molleti
Lineage: Eukaryota; Metazoa; Arthropoda; Insecta; Lepidoptera; Zygaenidae
Description: partial 12S ribosomal RNA
Source: RNAcentral